GACGAACGCUGGCGGCGUGCCUAACACAUGCAAGUCGAACGGAGUACCUUCGGGUACUUAGUGGCGAACGGGUGAGUAACGCGUGAGAAACCUGCCUUUCAGUGGGGGACAACAGUUGGAAACGACUGCUAAUACCGCAUAACAUCUUCUGGGGACAUCCCCUAAAGAUCAAAGCUUUAUGUGCUGGAAGAUGGCCUCGCGUCUGAUUAGCUAGUUGGUGAGGUAACGGCCCACCAAGGCGACGAUCAGUAGCCGGUCUGAGAGGGUGAACGGCCACACUGGAACUGAGACACGGUCCAG
Molecule: ribosomal RNA, 300 nt
Filed under: uncultured bacterium
Lineage: Bacteria
Description: bacterial SSU rRNA
Rfam family: Bacterial small subunit ribosomal RNA
Source: RNAcentral